This 735-nucleotide long non-coding RNA is filed under the name Mus caroli (Ryukyu mouse). RNAcentral's name for it is "lncRNA (MGP_CAROLIEiJ_G0006566.1)". Lineage: Eukaryota; Metazoa; Chordata; Mammalia; Rodentia; Muridae. The record is from RNAcentral.
GUACUACAGAGUUUCCUUUCAUCCCUAGCAACUGAUGGGUGACAAAGGGAAUCUUGAACCUCUGCCCCACAAAGACGAACAAAGCUGACUCAAGGCACCUGUGUUCAGGAAUCUGACUAAGCUAGAAAGGGCAAAGUGACCCAUGAUGGGUCUUUCUUCUUCCCUUGUGGCCACUGGCAGCUUCUGAGAUAUACAGACCAGAUGAUUAAGAAAACUUGCCAAAAAUGGAGACAGAAGCAGGAGUUAAAAGGAAAGGUCUCAGCCUGCUACGAACCCCAUCCUCUGCUCCUCAACAAUGAUCCUCCAGUCCCCACAUCCCAGUAUCAGCCUACACCGAACCCUGUUCUCUGCUUACCCACAACUCUAAGCUGAUCCUUUGGACAGGAGCCUAGCAUGGCUGUCCUUUGAGAGUUUCCACCUAGCAGUUGACUCAGAUGCAGAAAUCCACAGCCAAAGAUUGGAUGGAGCUUGGAACUCUUUAUGGAAGAGUUGGAGGAAGGAUUGAGGGCCCAGAAGGGGAUAGGAACUCCACAAGAAGACCAACAGAGUCAACUAACCUGGACCCUUGGGAGCUCUCAGAGACUGGACCACCAACAAAAGAGCAUACAGCGGCUGGAUCUAACUGCCCCCUUUUGCCUGUACAAUGGACAGCUCUCAACCCACCCCUACCUGCCCUUGGGGGGUUGUGGGUGAGUUGGUGCAGAGUCAAGGACAAGGACAGACCCCUGGUAACAG